RNAcentral lists this ribosomal RNA (281 nucleotides) under Clostridioides difficile. RNAcentral's name for it is "partial 16S ribosomal RNA". It matches the Rfam family "Bacterial small subunit ribosomal RNA", at positions 167 to 448 of the family's 1533-position model. The record is from RNAcentral. Lineage: Bacteria; Bacillati; Bacillota; Clostridia; Peptostreptococcales; Peptostreptococcaceae.
UACGGGAUAAUAUAUUUGAGAGGCAUCUCUUGAAUAUCAAAGGUGCGCCAGUACAGGAGGGACCCGCGUCGGAUUAGCGAGUGGGGAAGGUAACGGCUUACCAAGGCGACGAUCAGGAGCCGACCUGGGAUGGUGAUCGGCCACAUUGGAACUGAGACACGGUCCAAACUCCUACGGGAGGCAGCAGUGGGGAAUAGUGCACAAUGGGCGAAAGCUUGAUGCAGCAACGCCGCGUGAGUGAUGAAGGCCUUUGGGUCGUAAAAAUCUGUCCUCAAGGAAGA